Solanum lycopersicum (tomato) is the source of this 575-nucleotide long non-coding RNA. RefSeq lists it as uncharacterized. Lineage: Eukaryota; Viridiplantae; Streptophyta; Magnoliopsida; Solanales; Solanaceae. The record is from RefSeq and is a predicted model, not a curated record.
AAAGGUCCUUUAUAUCUGCUUUUAAUGCCUUUACCUUCCUCUCUGUUUUUUCUCUCCUGUUAAUUUUUCGUUCCUUCUCUAUCUUUAAAUCUAAGAAAAAAAAUUCCAUCUUCUCUUUCAAGAAAAAAAAUAAAAUGUCAUCAUCCAAUUUAAAUCAUCAAGCAAAUAAUGGACUCCCAAUUUGUCUUGCAGGGAUCACACGUCCUCUUCCUCUAUCCAAAGAGAUGACGGAUCACAUUGGAAGAAGGGAGGCUAUGAAAAAGCUAAGAGUUCAAAUGGGAGGAAAAUGGAAAACAGAUGAAGUGAGAAGCAAUGAAAGAGAGUUUAGGGAGAAAAUAAAUGAAACUGAUUUAGAUCUUAUUGUUGCUCUUCUUUGUGGUCUUUGUUUGUCUUGUACAGCAAAGGCUGCUUGAUUCUAACUUGGAAAAAAAAGAGUACUUAAUUUGGUUUUUCUUUUAGUUUUUGUUUAUGUACUUUUGGGGACUGUGAUAAAUUUAGCUUAGAUUUGUGUAACAACCUUCUACUGAGGUUAAGUUUUCUUCCUAUUGACAUUCAAUUAAAUUUGGAUUCACGUA